UUGGUGGAGAAAGAAGAAGAUGUUGACUGAUUUAUUGAUAAAAAUGUAGAUUGCAUAUGCGCAUAUAUGAAAUAUGAUAUACAUUAUAUGCGCAAUCAGAUAAAAAUCUAUAUGUGUGAAAUUUAAUAUGCAUUUUAUUCAUAGGUGUAAUAAAAAAAAAUCACCCGUGGCAAUACACGAGGGUUCUACUAGUGCUUCGUCAUUUUUAAGGCCUCACAAUCUAUUAAGGUCUUCGAUUUAUAAUUGGGUCACCCGAUUUUGACAGGGUCAACAAUUUCUCAAGGAGCUCUCCUAUUUAAUUCUUUUAAUUCACUAUGUUUCCUAAUUUUGAAUCUUUUUCAUUCAAUUGAGGUUUUCAAUUGUGGAUUGGGUUUACGAUUUUGAUCGGGUCAACAAUUUUUCAAAUCAAUCGGUAGCAGCCAGCCUACAAAAACAUCUCAAUCCCAUGCACCCUCCAAUUGCCUAGAAAAAAGAAGUGACAACAUGUGAUAUUAUAGCACCAAUAUAGUACAUGCAGCCAUCAACGCAGAAAUUUCCCGACAUAAAUUUACGUUAGUUUGCGGAUAACACAAAACCACACCACGAAAUACCCAUCAAUCGCCGCAUUUUAUAAAUAAAAAUGAAAUACACUCCAUCAUCUCCCUACCCGCCAAACUAAAUAUUUCACCAGUUUCAAAAUUUAAGGGGUAUUAGUUUUUUCGAAAGUCAAAAUUCUUUAACUUUGACCAAGUUCAGAGCAAAAAAUAUCGACAAUAUUAUAAAAAGUAUGAAAAUUCAUUUCAUGAUGAAUCUAAUCAUACAGAUUAGACAUUAUCGAUUUUGAUAUAUUUCUCUACAAAUUUGAACAAACCUAAAAGGUUUGAUUUUUCAAAAAAAAACAAUACACCUCAUAUUUGGAAAUAAAGUGAGUUUUUUUUUUUAAGAAAUCCAACAACACCAACGGCGCAGCAAAGUGCGCCCUACCCUUCUACUACCUCUGUCCCAUAAUAUAAGAACAUCUAGUGUCAAAAACGUUCUUAUAUUAUGGGACGGAGGGAGUAGUUCAUAUACCACACCCCAUUAAAGGUCAAGUUGUAGCCACACACAUAUGAGAGAGAGGAGACUGUGGAGUGAGUGAGAGUGCGCGAAAAUGCGCAGGGGCGCGCAAGAGCGGAGGCACACACUUGCACGACCCAGUAAGUGCGACCGUUCGCGUCGUGAUUCAUGCACUUGUGUGUACUGGAAAAUUGUGAAAACCCACUGGUAGUUGAUAUACAUCAGAAUACGGUCGAGUAUUCAUGUCGGUCGUGUACAGAUACGUGGUAUGUACUAUUUUUAUUAUCCCUUCUUUGACUACGGAUGGACCUUAUAUGUUUACUUCUUCGCUUCCUGUUCAUCUCCUUACUCCUGUCCUACAUUUUUAAUCUGGAAGAACUCUUUUUCUCCUGUACAUCGCCACUGUUGUUUCAUCUUCUCUCAUCCGAUUCUUUCUAUUCCCUUCACAUUCAUGUAAUUUCUUUGCUUUGCUGCUUCACCUACUGUGGGUAUUCUGUGCACUAUCAAUAUGGGAUCUUUUCGAGAGGAGUUUAAUGGAUUAAAGUUGCAAUUCGACAGGUAAUUUAUUGUGUUACUUCUUCUCUUCUACUACUAUUCUUACUUAGUCACAUAGGUCACUCCUAUCUUUCUAUCUGCCAUUUUAUCGAUACAGAUUUGCAGACCUCAGGUUAUCUGAUGCAAAGUCUUGUUUACUAUCUCACUUUGUGCGGACUACUUUGAUGUUACUAACAUUCAAUCAUCACACGAUUCUGAAUCGGCAACUGGGGAAUAUGGUUGUCUUUCACAACAAACUUUUUUUUACAGACCCACAGAUUCAGGAAUCUGAAUCUGUGCCUUCUCUCGAUUCAGUGCCAAUGGAUAUGUGAGUUUAUUCUGAAUACAACAUCAACAUACUAGGUGAUUCUGAAAUAUUUUCCUUCCAUAUAAGUAGUUUAUUUCUGCAUCCUCAAGUUAUGUUAUCUAAAACUUGUUGCAUUUAAGUUUCGUUCGUGUUACUUAACUAGUUCUUAAUGUCAUCAUGUACUGUAGCUUUCAAAAUUUUAUGCAUUCUAAACUUAGUGCUGAUUGUGAUACUGAUUCUAGUUUAGACCAAAUGUCUUCGCUCUCUAAUAUGAGUAUGCCUCCCAGUCCAACUUCGUCUGAUAUACCUCUGCCAGUCAGUAACGAAUAUAAUAGAUUGUCUCAACUUUUUUCUCGGUACAGACUUCUAUUCCAGUCAUUUCUACAAAUGUUGAUCACCAAUUGGAUUUUUCUAAAAUUUUAGUUUUCUUUCUCACUUAUUUUGCUUACUUUUUUCGGUUGUCAAGAGAAUGUAAAUUAUACUCAUAUCUGCUCACAGCCGAUAGAUGAUGAACAUGAGGGGGAACCUGAUCCUAAUGACACUGCUGACUACAACAGAGUUUCACAAGAAUUUGAAGGGUACAUACUUUCGUGUGAUUUGUGUCAUAUGUAUCUUUCUUUCGUGCCCUGUUUCUAUGACGGUUCUUUCUGUUAUUUACUCCCCCUGUUAACAUUAUUUCAGAUGACACAUCAGUCUUCAUUCUACCAAUGUCUCAUUUGAUUCACUUGAUGUUCUGUCCGAUGUUCCUCCCUUGAUAUUGCUCAGUUUCACUCUAUGCCUUCACCACAAUCACCUCAAUCAGUGCAUACUAAUGCUUCAGAUGAUUCCACUACAGGUAAUUAACGCUUGUCAUCUUCUAUGCCAAUAGAUGAAAAAAAUGAUGCCGACGAGCAAACAUGCACCGGCAACUCAUAUGUCACAUGACAAUUCCGUUCCACAUGUUCAGCCAGCAAAGAAUUCUCGGUUUUGUGCUCUCCGAAAAUCAUUAUAUGCCUAUUCAACAUGGACAACAGAAACUAGUAUGUGCGAAUCUAUCAGAACAUGCUUAAAUACUCUCACCGAGGGAUAUAACUUCUAAAAUUAAUACAAUUGGGAGAUGUCUUUGGCAUCUGGUAUGGAAA
Long non-coding RNA from Triticum aestivum (bread wheat), 2997 nucleotides. RefSeq lists it as uncharacterized. The transcript has 2 exons. Lineage: Eukaryota; Viridiplantae; Streptophyta; Magnoliopsida; Poales; Poaceae. The record is from RefSeq and is a predicted model, not a curated record.